RNAcentral lists this long non-coding RNA (1288 nucleotides) under Pan troglodytes (chimpanzee). Its description in RNAcentral is "long non-coding RNA NONPTRT005916". Lineage: Eukaryota; Metazoa; Chordata; Mammalia; Primates; Hominidae. The record is from RNAcentral.
GCUGUAGGCUGUUGAGUCUGCCACACGUUUGACAUUUAUUGUUUAUUCCCACACCCAUCCCAUGAAACAAGCAGGACUUUCCAUUUUACAGAUGUGAAAACCAAGCUUCAAAGAGACUCAGUAACCUGCUCCAGGACAAAUGACAGAACUGAGACUUCUGACUCCAAAUCUUACGCUCCCCCGCCACACCUCUUUGCCUUUCUCUUUCACACCAAUGGACUCUAUGGGUGACCUUGGCAUAGGUUCUUCUAAGAACUGGCUCUUAACAAAAACUUCUGGCCAUUAUCUGACUGAAUGUCACAAACAAGUGCUGUAAGAACUUGCUUAGAGCCUUUUUCCUAAACCUGUACACCAGCUCUUGCCUUGUGAAUUUAUUCACCACAAAACACAUGUUCCCAGGGGCCCAGGCAAAGUCUCCAAGUACCCAGUCCCCUUUCUUCAGCCUUGCCCACACCCUCAGCCUUCCUGUUAAUCCAGGCGACCCAGGGUUACCCAGAGGUCCAGGUCCCAGUUGUUCACUUGAGCAUCUGAUGUACCCCAAACACCUGUGUGAAACGCUCUCUGUCCAGGAUGCGUCCAUAGCGCAGGGUGACGUAGAAGGUCUGUUUCCCACUGUACCGCUGGAUACGCACGAACAUCUCCUGAGGCCGGUCCUUGGUUUCUGUCAGGGGAAUCACAUCUGCCAUGGGACAGUAUGUGUCCUGCCGCCAGCCCCAGAAGUUCAGAUGGGCCACCCGCAGCGUGGUGCCAGACUCAUUCAGAUACAGGAUACCAACCAGUCUCCGUAAGAAAUAGCUCAUCCAGCACAGCAUGGUCAGGGCAAAGCCCGAUAUCCCACUCAUGAGGCACACGGUGUUGAGAGUGAGGAGGCCCUGGGAGUACAAGUAAUAGCCUGGUGGCAGAGCUACCACUGUCAGGGCAGUCUGUGCCAACUUCAGUCGUGACAGGAACCCGAACGUUCUGAUGGCAUCAAAACGGUAAAACAUCCAGAAUUUCUCAGUCUCUGCGUUUGGUAGUUUCUCCUUCGAGAUGGGUGAACUGCUGCCCACCCACCUCUUAGGAUCCUCCUGCCCACUGCAGCACCACAGCCCAUGGAGAGGCCUUUCCCACACAGCUUUUCCCCGAAACCUACGCACAGCUCGGAGAAGGGCAGCCUGAAAGGGAGACAGUAGACCAUUUCUCUCGUGGAACUCAACUACAUUAAUCACACGGUGAACAUCUGCAAAGCACCAUACUCUAAGGCUUCUGCCAAUCCUGCAAGUAAUUUGUGAGCAAAUUACUCCACACC